Long non-coding RNA from Melopsittacus undulatus (budgerigar), 387 nucleotides. RefSeq lists it as uncharacterized. NCBI's taxonomy places the organism in Eukaryota, Metazoa, Chordata, Aves, Psittaciformes, Psittaculidae. The transcript is spliced from 3 exons. The record is from RefSeq and is a predicted model, not a curated record.
AAAGAUACUAUUAACUUCCCGGCUUAUGAGGAAUUGACAAGACCUCUGAAGAUUCUGACAUUUCCUUUUACAGAAGGAAGAGGUUGCUGUGUCAGACAUUUAAAGAACAUCCUUGAUGACUAGAAUCUUCAAGAGGAAACUAUGUAGUAAUGAAGCACAAUGACAGCAAGACUGGGGUUUAGACAAGAUCACAGACUGAGGCAUUAAAAGGUUUCAUUCUGGCAUUUCCUUGGCUGAGAAUGAGCACUUUUCUGUAGGAUCAUCCUGAACCAUGAAAUCCAGUGUGUCUUCAAUGUUAAAUUCCAAAUGUGGAAAAGAAUAAUUAGUUAAAAUUAUGUAAGAUUUUAACUUUUGGACACUAUUUCUUCAAGGCGUUAUCUUCACAAA